UGGGGGAUAUUGCACAAUGGGCGAAAGCCUGAUGCAGCGACGCCGCGUGGGGGAUGAAGGCCUUCGGGUUGUAAACUUCUUUUGCUCUGAACAAGGCGCACCAUGGGGUGUGUUGAGUGUAGGGGUUGAUUAGCGCCGGCUAACUACGUGCCAGCAGCCGCGGUAAUACGUAGGGCGCGAGCGGUGUCCGGAAUUAUUGGGCGUAAAGGGCUUGUAGGGGGCUGGUUGCGUCUGUCGUGAAAGCUCAUGGCUUAACUGUGGGUUUGCGGUGGGUACGGGCUGGCUUGAGUGCAGUAGGGGAGGCUGGAAUUCCUGGUGGAGCGGUGGAAUGCGCAGAUAUCAGGGGGAAAACCGGUGGCGAAGGCGGGUCUCUGGGCUGUUACUGACACUGAGGAGCGAAAGCAUGGGGAGCGAACAGG
This 419-nucleotide ribosomal RNA is filed under the name bacterium. Its description in RNAcentral is "partial 16S ribosomal RNA". It matches the Rfam family "Bacterial small subunit ribosomal RNA", at positions 355 to 776 of the family's 1533-position model. The record is from RNAcentral.